CAGCCGCCACGGGAAUACGGAGGGUGCAAGCGUUAAUCGGAAUUACUGGGCGUAAAGCGCACGCAGGCGGUUUGUUAAGUCAGAUGUGAAAUCCCCGAGCUUAACUUGGGAACUGCAUUUGAAACUGGCAAGCUAGAGUACGGUAGAGGGGGAUGGAAUUCCGCGUGUAGCAGUGAAAUGCGUAGAUAUGCGGAGGAACACCGAUGGCGAAGGCAAUCCCCUGGACCUGUACUGACGCUCAUGCACGAAAGCGUGGGGAGCAAACAGGAUUAGAUACCCGUGUAGUCCCUGUCUCUUAUAC
RNAcentral lists this ribosomal RNA (301 nucleotides) under uncultured bacterium. RNAcentral describes it as "partial 16S ribosomal RNA". It matches the Rfam family "Bacterial small subunit ribosomal RNA", at positions 509 to 807 of the family's 1533-position model. The record is from RNAcentral.